Molecule: long non-coding RNA, 207 nt
Filed under: Elaeis guineensis (African oil palm)
Lineage: Eukaryota; Viridiplantae; Streptophyta; Magnoliopsida; Arecales; Arecaceae
Description: long non-coding RNA (EGUI_LNC066168)
Source: RNAcentral
CCACAAUCCUGAAGAAAAAUAGUCUCUUACAAUUACAAAGGGACAGAUUAUAAUAUUUUUUUUUUGUUUUGGCACGUACGUAGCUGCUGACUUGUAAUCUCAAGUCCGAAGGGAUUGCAACACAGAGCGUGGACUUCAACACUCCCUCUAAUUAGUUCAUUAGCCACCUUCACAUGCAGUUCCUUAAAUAAACACACACACACACAC